Anguilla anguilla (European eel) is the source of this 1839-nucleotide long non-coding RNA. RefSeq lists it as uncharacterized. Lineage: Eukaryota; Metazoa; Chordata; Actinopteri; Anguilliformes; Anguillidae. The transcript has 2 exons. The record is from RefSeq and is a predicted model, not a curated record.
CUUUCGUUUUUGCGGUUUAUAAAGCGCGAGUGAUUCAGCAUACAAUAGCGGUUUUGCCUCCUGACUACAGUCUGUGCGCUGGAUUUACCAAAACUUCGCCGGAAUCUUUCUGCAGAAUGCCGUAUGCUCAAGAUAGAAUCCAAAAGUCCAGAGGUCCAUAUGCAGAUGCGGGCAGCUAUGGAUGCGGAGCCUACGCUGGUAUGGGAGUGGGGCACGCGAGGGCCGAGUUCUGCGUGUUCGAGGCUGAAGCGAACGGGCCGAACGUGUCGGUGGGGGCCCAGGCGUCUCACGGGGUGAGCGCGAUGGCCGGCGCCGAAGUGGCCAGCGUUUCGGUGGGCGCUGGCCCGCUGAAGGUAAAGGCGGGCCUGGGGUUCAACACCGGAGGGAGUGUAGGUCCCGAUGGUGUGGAAGUGCUGUUCCUAGGCACCGGCAUAAGGCUCGGUUCAAAUCCAAAAGUAUCCAUGAUGGGAUCUUCGGCGGAAUGCUCCGUUAUGUGACUGUCUCUAAGAACGGUCUUCAUGACAUCACUUUGGUUGCGGUCAUUCAUGAUAUUAAAUUUAAUUCGAUUAAGCAUUACAGUAAUAGUGAACAUUCAUAAACAUUUCUGCACAAUGAAAGAAUAGAAACCAAAGUAAUGUUUUUGUAACCUCUUUUUAAUCUUAUGCUUGUCUAAAGAAUAUUGUUUGAGUGCAUUUCAUAUAUAUAUCAAAGUAAUGUUUUUGUAAUCUCCAUUUAACCUCCUGCUUAUCUGUUACCGAAUGUUCAUUUCAAAUUAAUAAAAAAAAAAAAAUAAUAAUAAUUUUUAUAAAUAAUAAUGUAUUUUUAAAAUUUAUUAGACCAUUUUAAGUUCUGUAUGGGACACCCCCCCCCCCAAUACAGGGGAAUAAAUCACAUGAAGAAGAAACCAUAAAGAAACGAGUGUGAAGAUAUUUAGGAACAUUGGGUCUCAUUCACAAAACAUGCGUACGAUCACAUUUUGAUCGUAAACUGCAUGUAAGAACGUUUCUGAGAACAUUUCGACAUUCAUCAUUUUAGCUGUAUUUGUUUGUGGCUGUUUCCUUAUUCAAAUCACAUGAAUGGGAUUGCGCAUUUAAAAUUUACUAACAGCCAGCAUUCAGUAUUGUUUUUUAGUAGGAACGUUUUUAAGAACAAAAGUAAAAAUAAUUUUAGAAACGUUCUGUGAAUGAGGCCCAUUGUGUUUCCAAAAAAAGUGACUAAUAAGACCUACCACGUAGCCAUUUACCCCUUUGGUGGGAGAGAACGUCAAAAAUAAUUCAUUAACACUCAUUAACAACAAUAAACAGCGUGCAAGGGCCUUCUGACAAUUACGAUAUAGUUCUGACUGGCAGUAUCGUAUAAUGGAUAAGGAGCUGGUCUUGUAACCUAACGGUUUGAUUCCUGAGUGGGACACUGCCGUUGUAUAUAUAUCCAGCUGUAUAAAUGGAUGCAGUGUAAAUACUUUGUAAAAGUUGUGUAAGUUGCUCGGGAUAAGAGCGUGUGCUAAAUGCCUGUAAUGUAAUGUAAUGCAGUUCAGUUUGCAUUUGAAUAAAAUUCCCGUUCUCCUAGGAGAGGAAAGGAAAUGAAAGACCCUGGCAGGACACUACAUUUCAGCCUGAGAAACAGAGAGUGAAAAAACUCAUUUCUUUUUAUAGUUUACAUGGUCAAAAUACUAUUAUUACUAUUUUACUUUACUUUUAUUUGACUCUCUAAUUGUAGCUGUAUUAAUUAUAUUCUAUGCAUUACCUGUACUGUUACACUGCUUGUUUCUUGCAAGUUUCUUGUUUGCUUUGGCAAUAUUUACCACGUGCAUUUCCUGCCAAUAAAGCACAUUGAAAAGAA